GGUGUUGUGGCUCAGUGGUAGAGCGCUCCCCUACAUGUGUGAGGCACUGGGUUCAAUCCUCAGCACCA
RNAcentral lists this transfer RNA (68 nucleotides) under Ictidomys tridecemlineatus (thirteen-lined ground squirrel). RNAcentral's name for it is "Spermophilus tridecemlineatus (thirteen-lined ground squirrel) tRNA". It matches the Rfam family "tRNA". Rfam says of the family: Transfer RNA (tRNA) molecules are approximately 80 nucleotides in length. Lineage: Eukaryota; Metazoa; Chordata; Mammalia; Rodentia; Sciuridae. The record is from Rfam by way of RNAcentral.